This 235-nucleotide ribosomal RNA is filed under the name uncultured bacterium. RNAcentral's name for it is "partial 16S ribosomal RNA". It matches the Rfam family "Bacterial small subunit ribosomal RNA", at positions 15 to 229 of the family's 1533-position model. The record is from RNAcentral.
GAUCAUGGCUCAGGAUGAACGCUGGCGGCGUGCUUAACACAUGCAAGUCGAACGAAGCGCUUUAUUCAGAUUCUUUCGGGAUGAUGAAUUUAGUGACUUAGUGGCGGACGGGUGAGUAACGCGUGGGUAACCUGCCUUACACAGGGGGAGUAACAGUUAGAAAUGACUGCUAAUACCGCAUAAAACAGCAGCACCGCAUGGUGCAACUGUCAAAGAUUUAUCGGUGUAAGAUCGG